GGCAGUGUAGUAUAAUCGGUAAGGUGCUAGCCUUGUAACCUAAAGGCCACAGGUUCGAUUCCCAGGUAGGACACUGCCA
This 79-nucleotide transfer RNA is filed under the name Anguilla anguilla (European eel). Its description in RNAcentral is "tRNA-OTHER". Lineage: Eukaryota; Metazoa; Chordata; Actinopteri; Anguilliformes; Anguillidae. The record is from RNAcentral.